This 426-nucleotide ribosomal RNA is filed under the name uncultured Desulfovibrionales bacterium. RNAcentral describes it as "bacterial SSU rRNA". It matches the Rfam family "Bacterial small subunit ribosomal RNA", at positions 356 to 774 of the family's 1533-position model. Lineage: Bacteria; Pseudomonadati; Thermodesulfobacteriota; Desulfovibrionia; Desulfovibrionales. The record is from RNAcentral.
GGGGAAUAUUGCCCAAUGGGCGAAAGCCGGACGCAGCAACGCCGCGUGGGGGAGGAAGGUUCUCGGUUGGUAAACCUCGUUCAGAGGGGAGAAACCCGAACCGUGUAAACCACCGUUGCAUUGACGUUACCUUCAAAGGAAGACCCGCCUAACUCAGUGCCAGCAGCCGCGGUAAUACGGAGGGUGCAAGCGUUAAUCGGAAUUACUGGGCGUAAAGCGAACGUAGGCUGCUUUGUAAGUCAGGGGUGAAAUCCCACGGCUCAACCGUGGAACUGCCUUUGAUACUGCUUAGCUUGAAUCCGGGAGAGGGUGGCGGAAUUCCAGGUGUAGGAGUGAAAUCCGUAGAUAUCUGGAGGAACAUCAGUGGCGAAGGCGGCCACCUGGACCGGUAUUGACGCUGAGGUGCGAAAGCGUGGGGAGCAAACA